UACGUAGGGGUCCAAGCGUUUAAUCGGAAUUACUGGGCGUAAAGUGUGCGCAGGCGGUUCUGAAAGUCAGCUGUGAAAGCCCCGGGCUUAACCUGGGAAUUGCGGUUGAAACUACAGGGCUAGAAUCUGGCAGAGGGGGGUGGAAUUCCACGUGUAGCAGUGAAAUGCGUAGAGAUGUGGAGGAACACCGAUGGCGAAGGCAGCCCCCUGGGCUGAGAUUGACGCUCAGGCACGAAAGCGUGGGGAGCAAACAGG
RNAcentral lists this ribosomal RNA (255 nucleotides) under uncultured bacterium. Its description in RNAcentral is "partial 16S ribosomal RNA". It matches the Rfam family "Bacterial small subunit ribosomal RNA", at positions 524 to 776 of the family's 1533-position model. The record is from RNAcentral.